AGGAGUGGACUACUAAAUAUUUUUUUUUGCUGAAGUCCGUUCAAAGGCUGUAUGUCUUAUUUGCAAUGACACCGUUGCGGGUUUUAAAGAAUAUCAGCCGACACUUUUCCACGAAGCAUGCUAACUAUGCUAGCAACCAGUUAGCAUAAGAACGGACAGCUACGGCUCAGAGGUUGGCAGCCAGUUUACACACUCAGCAAAAUACUUUCUUCCACAAACUACGAUUCAAGAGUCAAGCACGAAGGCAAGUUAUUUGCUAGCAUUCAAAAUAGCAAAGGCUAGCUAGCCUUUCUUUUGAAAGAAUGCAUGGUAGAGACAGCAGGUCUCCUGUGUCCAGAGAGCAGAAACAAAUUAGAAAAAAUUAGUUUAUCAUGCAGGACAGUUACUCGCCGUGUUGAACUAAUCUGUGAAGACUUAACCAGCUCACUGAACGAAAAAGCGGAGUCCUUCAAGUUAUAUUCAUUAGCACUGGACGAAAGUAAUGGCAUAAAAGACACUGCUCAGCUUUUAAUUUUUAUUCGAGGGACAAUUUUGAGACAACGGAGGAAUUUUUGACCAUGGAAUCCAUGAAGGGGGGACAGGAGCAGAGGACUUGUAGGACAGGAUGUCUGGGGUCAUCGAGAGGCUGAAGCUGCCUUGGUGUAAACUCGCCAAUGUCACCAAGGAUGGAUCCAAACUUGACAGGAAAAAACAUCGGGCUGCUGAAAAGAAUCCAGGAUAAAGUGAAGGAGGAAAACCCUGAGCUGGAAGUGAUUUUCCUCCACUGCAUAAUCCAUCAGGAAGCGCUCUGCUCCUGACGCCUCCCAGAAGAGCCGCGGAGGAGGAGAGGAAUUCCACUGGAUUCAAAGACUUCGCCGGGUUUCUUUUGACUCUUCCGUCUGACUUGCCUCGCCUUCCCCCACUCUUCAUGUUGACCUGUUCUCCGUGAUCCCCUGCCAAACCAUCUUCCUGGCCCUGAGGGACUGUGGCUGUAGCCACAGUUUUGUUCCGAGCGUUGUUUGAAGCGCUCGGUGCAGCCUGGGGGUGAGCUCAGCCUGGACGGCAGCCUGCACCUGUGAGGGAACCUCAAACCUGAGGG
Molecule: long non-coding RNA, 1078 nt
Organism: Amphiprion ocellaris (clown anemonefish)
Lineage: Eukaryota; Metazoa; Chordata; Actinopteri; Pomacentridae
Exons: 3
Source: RefSeq, a predicted model, not a curated record